CAGCAGCCGCGGGAAUACAGAGGGUGCGAGCGUUAAUCGGAUUUACUGGGCGUAAAGCGUGUGUAGGUUGUUGUUCAAGUCAGUUGUGAAAUCCCUGGGCUCAACCUGGGAACUGCUUCUGAGACUGAACGACUAGAGUACGGUAGAGGGUGGUGGAAUUUCCGGUGUAGCGGUGAAAUGCGUAGAUAUCGGAAGGAACAUCAAUGGCGAAGGCAGCCACCUGGGCCUGUACUGACACUGAGACACGAAAGCGUGGGGAUCAAACAGGAUUAGAUACCCCCGUAGUCCCUGUCUCUUAUAC
RNAcentral lists this ribosomal RNA (301 nucleotides) under uncultured bacterium. RNAcentral's name for it is "partial 16S ribosomal RNA". It matches the Rfam family "Bacterial small subunit ribosomal RNA", at positions 509 to 807 of the family's 1533-position model. The record is from RNAcentral.